GUAAAGGAUAUUAGGCCCCAAUGUUGUGAAAACCACUGUGGUUCUUUGAACUAAAAAAAGAAGUCCUGUCUCAAAUACACCACAGCCCUAGAAAAAGAUAUUUUUAAGGCAUGAGUAGAAAAUAGCCUAAAUCAAGUGACUUUACAACAGUUUCCUUUAUUUAGUUACUACAACUUCCUGAGUGUUGGCCUGCCCUCCCUUUGCUUUGACUUCUAGGAACUUUGACCCAGCCUGAGCCUCAGCUCUAUCUUAAGGAUGCUGCUGUGAUCAUAGAGGAUUCAGAGACCACAUGUCUGCUCCUCCAGCUGGGAUCCAUUCUUAGAAUUUGGUUUCUGUUCUGAUCCAUAUCUUGGUUCCAAUGACCAGUGAAAGCUCAGGAAAAGGAGCACUGAUGUAAAAGAUACUUGCUUAACCAAAGCACUGAGACAGCACAUCUGCAGGAAAACACCAUAUGAAGCUUGAGGAGACAGAAAGUCAAAGACAAGCCACGCAGUGAUCCUAGCAGGAGAAUGUGAG
RNAcentral lists this long non-coding RNA (516 nucleotides) under Canis lupus familiaris (dog). RNAcentral's name for it is "lncRNA (ENSCAFG00040000160.1)". The record is from RNAcentral. Lineage: Eukaryota; Metazoa; Chordata; Mammalia; Carnivora; Canidae.